RNAcentral lists this small nucleolar RNA (139 nucleotides) under Sorghum bicolor (sorghum). RNAcentral describes it as "Small nucleolar RNA Z247". It matches the Rfam family "Small nucleolar RNA Z247". From Rfam's summary of the family: Z247 is a member of the C/D class of snoRNA which contain the C (UGAUGA) and D (CUGA) box motifs. Lineage: Eukaryota; Viridiplantae; Streptophyta; Magnoliopsida; Poales; Poaceae. The record is from Rfam by way of RNAcentral.
UCUCUAGAUGAUGAAGAGCUGGUGGCACAUAUUUGUAAUGGACUUGAUGCCGAGUACAAUUCUGUGGUGACAUCGAUCACUGCCAGGACAGAUUCCAUCUCAAUUUCUGAGUUUUAUGCCCAAUUACUCAGUUUUGAGA